AACAUUGUCCCUUGGUGCUGUUCACGCAGACCAUAGUCACUGGGCGUGUUGCGAUGUGGUAAAGUGUGCGUGUGUGUGUGCUGUGAUGUGCGUGCAACGCUCGUAAGCCUGCUGUCACCUAAUGAGCGUGGGGAGCAGAGCAGGGCAAUGUGCUGUCACGGGCUCUGAGACCACACGGAGUCACGCAGCAACGACCGUGCUGGAGGAUGAGUGGGAAUGGCCACAAUGCGUUGUGAGCUGGAAUGUGACCGCAGGGAACCAUUUGUUUCGUCACCUGGUUCUAAUGCUGCCAAAGCUUUUUGCACAGUACCAGCUCAGGCUGCAUCAGCCAUCACUGCACCUGUGGAUGCGGCGCAGGCACAGCCCUGUGACACAGUCAGAAGCAAACAGGUCGGGCCCUGCAGUCCUCAGCAUCCGCUGGGUUCACACAUCCUGGCUCCGUGAUCUACAACCUGUCCGAACAACUCCUGCAUGUUUAGCUGCACUCCUCCAAUGAACUCAGCGUGAGAAGGAAGAAAUUACAUUUUCUCCUUGGUCGCUCAGCAUUGGUUUAUCUGCCAGCAUAA
Molecule: long non-coding RNA, 566 nt
Filed under: Gallus gallus (chicken)
Lineage: Eukaryota; Metazoa; Chordata; Aves; Galliformes; Phasianidae
Description: long non-coding RNA NONGGAT004729
Source: RNAcentral